Phyllostomus discolor (pale spear-nosed bat) is the source of this 752-nucleotide long non-coding RNA. RefSeq lists it as uncharacterized. Lineage: Eukaryota; Metazoa; Chordata; Mammalia; Chiroptera; Phyllostomidae. The transcript is spliced from 3 exons. The record is from RefSeq and is a predicted model, not a curated record.
CACGGGGCCGCCUCCAGGCUGGGGCGACGAGUAAAUAGACCGGGGGGAUGCAAAGGGCUCGGCCAAAGAGCAAAGUACGGAAUGUACACUGCGGUUAGGACUCUGGCUUGGACUCAGACACACGCGGUGCGUUAGGCUAUAGGACUAUCUAUCCAUAGCCAACGCCACUCCCUGGAGUGAACUGUAACUUGGCCAAAGUACACAAAGUGCCCCUUUGGUUCCAAGGGUGACUUUCCAAGCUCCUUAGCAAGUCCCCGACUCUUCUGCCUCCCCCCGAGAUGACGAGAUGACGAAGCAUUGGUGAAGAGGGGCGCUGGGGAGCCCGUACCCUGCGUGACUAGAGUAAGUGCAGCUCCCAAGCGGUUCUGUGAUGGGUUCCUAUCACCGGCUCUCAAGAAUUUAGGGAUUUGAAAGAUUGGGGGAUAUUUACUGUAGCAAAACCCAGCCUGGCCUCACUGACACGCCUGAAUACUGUUUCUUUAAGCCGUUUAAUAGCAAAACCAAAGAAAGGAAAACAACACACCAAGGAAACGCAUACACGGUAACACCGAAGGCAGCGGUCUCCGGGAGGUCUCAGGAUGGCCCCACACAUACACAGUAACACAGGAGGCAGCGGUCUCGGGGAGGUCUCAGGAUGGCCCCACGCGUACACAGUAACACAGAAGGCAGCGGUCUGCAGUCUCCGGGAGGUCUCAGGGACGGCCCCGCGCGUACACAGUAACACUGAAGGCAGCGGUCUCGCGGGGGUCUCA